Molecule: non-coding RNA, 24 nt
Filed under: Arabidopsis thaliana (thale cress)
Lineage: Eukaryota; Viridiplantae; Streptophyta; Magnoliopsida; Brassicales; Brassicaceae
Source: RNAcentral
AGGCCCGAUAUGAUUGGACUCAUC